UUCGCAAUGCCCGAAAGGGUGACGAUGCGACGCCGCGUGAGCGAAGAAGGCCCUAGGGUUGUAAAGCUCUGUCGAGGGUUAUGAAAUAUAGAUGGGUUAAUACCCCAUUUAUUUGACAAAAGCCCAAAAGGAAGCCACGGCCAACUCUGUGCCAGCAGCCGCGGUAAUACAGAGGUGGCGAGCGUUGUUCGGUAUUAUUGGGCGUAAAGAGCACGUAGGUGGUUUUGUAAGUCAGGUGUGAAAGCCUUCUGUUCAAAGGAAGAACGGCAUCUGAAACUGCAGAUCUUGAGUGUAGGAGGGGAGAGUGGAACUUCUGGUGGAGCGGUGAAAUGCGUAGAUAUCAGAAGGAACGUCGGCGGCGAAAGCGACUCUCUGGCCUAUUACUGACACUGAGGUGCGAAAGUUAGGGGAGCAAACGGGAUUAGAUACCCCGGUAGUCCUAACCGUAAACGAUGGGCACUAAGUAGAGGGGUUUU
Molecule: ribosomal RNA, 476 nt
Filed under: Candidatus Scalindua wagneri
Lineage: Bacteria; Pseudomonadati; Planctomycetota; Candidatus Brocadiia; Candidatus Brocadiales; Candidatus Scalinduaceae
Description: bacterial SSU rRNA
Rfam family: Bacterial small subunit ribosomal RNA
Source: RNAcentral